Molecule: ribosomal RNA, 516 nt
Filed under: Epicoccum sp. Sigrf27
Lineage: Eukaryota; Fungi; Ascomycota; Dothideomycetes; Pleosporales; Didymellaceae
Description: eukaryotic LSU rRNA
Rfam family: 5.8S ribosomal RNA (bases 160-313)
Source: RNAcentral
UGCGGAAGGAUCAUUACCUAGAGUUUGUGGACUUCGGUCUGCUACCUCUUACCCAUGUCUUUUGAGUACCUUCGUUUCCUCGGCGGGUCCGCCCGCCGAUUGGACAACAUUCAAACCCUUUGCAGUUGCAAUCAGCGUCUGAAAAAACAUAAUAGUUACAACUUUCAACAACGGAUCUCUUGGUUCUGGCAUCGAUGAAGAACGCAGCGAAAUGCGAUAAGUAGUGUGAAUUGCAGAAUUCAGUGAAUCAUCGAAUCUUUGAACGCACAUUGCGCCCCUUGGUAUUCCAUGGGGCAUGCCUGUUCGAGCGUCAUUUGUACCUUCAAGCUCUGCUUGGUGUUGGGUGUUUUGUCUCGCCUCCGCGUGUAGACUCGCCUUAAAACAAUUGGCAGCCGGCGUAUUGAUUUCGGAGCGCAGUACAUCUCGCGCUUUGCACUCAUAACGACGACGUCCAAAAGUACAUUUUUACACUCUUGACCUCGGAUCAGGUAGGGAUACCCGCUGAACUUAAGCAUA